CCUACGGGUGGCAGCAGUGAGGAAUAUUGGUCAAUGGGCGCAAGCCUGAACCAGCCAAGUCGCGUGAGGGAUGACGGUCCUAUGGACUGUAAACCUCUUUUGUCGGGGAGCAAGGCCCGCCACGUGUGGCGGGAAGGAGAGUACCCGAUGAAAAAGCAUCGGCUAACUCCGUGCCAGCAGUAGCGGUAAUACGGAGGAUUCGAGCGUUAUCCGGAUUUAUUGGGUUUAAAGGGUGCGUAGGUGGAAGGUUAAGUCAGCGGUCAAAUGCCGCUGCUCAACAGCGGCAUGCCGUUGAAACUGGUCUACGUGAGUGAGGGAGAGGUAUGCGGAAUGCGUGGUGUAGCGGUGAAAUGCGUAGAUAUCACGAAGAACUCCGAUUGCGAAGGCAGCAUACCGGCGCUCAACUGACGCUGAGGCACGAAAGCGUGGGGAUCGAACAGGAUUAGAUACCCGGGUAGUC
This 460-nucleotide ribosomal RNA is filed under the name uncultured bacterium. RNAcentral describes it as "partial 16S ribosomal RNA". It matches the Rfam family "Bacterial small subunit ribosomal RNA", at positions 338 to 795 of the family's 1533-position model. The record is from RNAcentral.